This 279-nucleotide ribosomal RNA is filed under the name uncultured bacterium. RNAcentral's name for it is "partial 16S ribosomal RNA". It matches the Rfam family "Bacterial small subunit ribosomal RNA", at positions 506 to 784 of the family's 1533-position model. The record is from RNAcentral.
UGCCAGCCGCCGCGGUAAUACGGAGGGUGCAAGCGUUAUCCGGAAUCACUGGGUUUAAAGGGUGCGUAGGCGGCGCAGUAAGUCAGAGGUGAAAGGUUACGGCUUAACCGUAAGACUGCCUUUGAUACUGUUGUGCUUGAAUCAGGCUGAGGUCAGCGGAAUGAGUCAUGUAGCGGUGAAAUGCAUAGAUAUGACUUAGAACACCAAUUGCGAAGGCAGCUGGCUAGACCUGCAUUGACGCUGAGGCACGAAAGCGUGGGGAGCGAACAGGAUUAGAUA